UCGAAACCUGCAUAGCAGAACACGACCUGUGAACAUGUAAAAACAAUCGGGUGUUCUAAGUAUCGGGCUCUUGUCCGAUUUAUAGGGUGCCAUGUUGACGUACGUCUUUGCAAGCCCCUUGGGUUUCUAAGGACGUCAUGUCGGCGCAACAAUAAACCCCCGGCACGGCAUGUGCCAAGGAAAUAUAAACUUAAGAAGAGCUUGUUCCGUGCUUUGCCGUUCGCGGUGAUUGCAUUGAAUCUUGCUUCUUUAUAAUCA
RNAcentral lists this unclassified non-coding RNA (258 nucleotides) under Senecio lugens. Lineage: Eukaryota; Viridiplantae; Streptophyta; Magnoliopsida; Asterales; Asteraceae. The record is from RNAcentral.